RNAcentral lists this ribosomal RNA (457 nucleotides) under uncultured bacterium. RNAcentral describes it as "bacterial SSU rRNA". It matches the Rfam family "Bacterial small subunit ribosomal RNA", at positions 29 to 526 of the family's 1533-position model. The record is from RNAcentral.
AACGAACGCUGGCGGCAGGCCUAACACAUGCAAGUCGAGCGAGAACUUCGGUUCUAGCGGCGGACGGGUUAGUAACGCGUGGGAAUAUGCCCUUCACUACGGAAUAGUCCCGGGAAACUGGGUUUAAUACCGUAUACGCCCUUCGGGGGAAAGAUUUAUCGGUGAAGGAUUAGCCCGCGUUGGAUUAGGUAGUUGGUGGGGUAAUGGCCUACCAAGCCGACGAUCCAUAGCUGGUUUGAGAGGAUGAUCAGCAACACUGGGACUGAGACACGGCCCAGACUCCUACGGGAGGCAGCAGUGGGGAAUCUUAGACAAUGGGGGCAACCCUGAUCUAGCCAUGCCGCGUGAGUGAUGAAGGCCUUAGGGUUGUAAACCUCUUUUAGUAGGGAAGAAGCGUAAGUGACGGUACCUGCAGAAAAAGCACCGGCUAACUACGUGCCAGCAGCCGCCGUAAAAC